UGAUGCAGCAGUACAAGGAAGGCCAUCACAUGUGAACUGGAAGGGUGCCAACAUGGAGACACAGAGAGCGCAAGGAGCUUCUCCUGGGCCCGAGGAAAACGACGCUCCCCGCCCUCAGGACUACCAUCCCAUUAACUCUUUCUGCCACAGACACGUCCACAAUUACAGCCGUAGCUGAUUUUUGUUGUUUUCUGCUUUUCUGGCUACAAACCAGGACUUUUUUCUCCCUGGAAUUUCCUAAGGACAAAAAGCGUAAUUAAAACACGGCCUGCUUACCCCAUGAGUGAGAUCCUUCUACUGGGGCAGGAACUGGAGAAACCAAACCAAACAGCAAACUGAACAGCAGCCUAAAGCAUCUGCAGGAGAAGCAGUCUGGACCUCCGCUCUUCCUGGGCUCUGAAUUUGAGGGCCUAGGUGGCUACGUCCUAUUACUCCUCAAAAGGCAUUUAGGCUACUCAGUCUCAGAGAUUCAGGUUGCUGAGUCAUUUGUUCCCAAGAAGAGCCUCUGACACCAUGAAAAGCAGCAAAACAGAGUGGCCGCCAAGCCGGGACCUGGAGUGGCCAACGACUGGCUUCCUCUCUCCGGGGCAGGUGGCCAAGGGAGACGAGCACCCACCAGCCCAGCUCCCGCUGCCCCCGCCACAGUCAUACCUGGUAUUACCUGGUACUGGAUAGCCUUCACAUACCUGGAAACUCUCAACAGGGAGGGGGUUUCCCACCAAGGCUCUGGAAACUGACCGGGGUUAUUUUUGGAUGCUGCCAGGUCUCCAGGCAUCAAAGCACACAGCUCCCAAGCUUGCCCUGCCCCCAGACUCAGAAAUGUUCCCAGAACAGCUCACCUGCUAACUCCCUGGACCCCGUAUACCCGGACGGACCCAGGGCGUCUUGGGUUCCCAUAGCGCCACAUCCAAAGAAGGCAGACCGCAAAGGUUCCUGACAACCCAUGGUACCACAAGAGCCUCGCCCUGAUCGGAAGUGGGAGGCGUGUGUGGGUCCUGGCGUGGCCGACUUAAAGUGUAUCACACCGAGGUGCUGGCAACUUCAAGACGGCUUGAGAACCAGAGGCCAUACCCCGCCUCCCAAGCAGGCUUCAUCAAGCAACAACUCUGGGCCAAGGUUUCACCCAGCAGAAAGAAGACCACUUGGAAGACAACCGUGGCACGCCACAGCUUUAAAAGAAGCCCAGAGCGGUGUGCCAGGCUCUCAGCAGGGGAGAAAGUGCUUCAAAUUCACACCUUCUGGGCUCCAGGGUAGAGCAUGCCAAUAAAGAAGUCACCUACUGGUCUGAUGACCAAAGGAAUGUGGCCUUGAUGGCACCAGAGCAAGUCCCCCGGAAUGGUCCUCUGCCCACUUAAAUACCAUUUGCCGUAGUUUCCUUUUCCAUGGAAGAAAAACAUGCCUAAGUUCAUGUCAGGACAUUCCUGAUUUAUCCAAGAGCCCAGGAUCAGAUAAACAAAGGGCUCUGAGCUCUGCCAGGGAGCCUCCUGCUUCAGGAGGGAGAAGCAGAAGGAAGCAGGGCUCAGCCCGGCACUGGCCCAUCACCCGAACUUGGUGAAUGACGUGCCGGCUCACUGCCAUGGCGAUGGAGAUGUCACGGGUGGGUGGCAGCGAGAGAGAAGAGGCAGAGAAGUCACGAGAGGCGGAACAAGAGCAAGUUAGGGUCAGGGGGGGCCACAGAACCCACAGACGGAGGCCGACUGUGGAUCAACCACAGCACAGCCGAGCUUGAGCCCAUGCAAAGGAAGGUCCCCUUCUCGGGGGCUCGGCAGGAACCAACUCUGACUUGCAAAGCAUUCUGACAGCACUGUGAUUGGGAGGUUCUGUUUCAUUUCACUUUUCAUCUAAACCUUUGCUGCUUCUUCCAGUUUUACUAAGAUUGAAACAGUCGUUUUCGAUGGCUCUGCCUAAUUCUAGGUCUUCCUUCUAUUAAUCUGAUCCUGCAUGGCGCCCAGAACAGGAAAACCCAAAUGGGAUGACCAGGAAGCAGACAUGGAUUCAGCUCCAAAAACAUGGGAGGAUGUUUGCUUAGCCGACAAGGAAGCAGGUUUACAGGGUGCUGCACGAGGCGUCUGAUUUCCGGGGGGGCGGCGGGGAGAAAUGCGAACCGAGGGGAAGGUGCCGGCCCCCUGUGUCCAUCCUGUGAGGCCUGGGGAGGCUGGAAAAGGCAGGGCUUCGACUCAAGCGCCGAGGUCCCUGGCUCUCUCCAGCUUCUCUGCAGUUUGGGGCCUCGGGAACUAAACACAGUCUCCAGACAUCCUGAGCGCUCCGUGGCCUCUGACUGAUCUAGGUCAAAACUUGGAAAUGCCAAAGAGGCAGAAUUUUUUUCUUUAAAGGGAAUGAGCUGAACUUUUACCCGGCCCUUGCCCUGGGUUUGGAAUGCAAGCGCUCUGUCACUGCCACCGGCUCCAGUCCUAUGGGCACCAGCCAGGAGCGCCGGCUGAGCGUGGGCCUCUGGCCCUCUCUGUUUCACCAUCAGGGCCUCCUAGGCAGGGGCUGGAUCCUCCAUCAGGAGCAAAGGCAUUUCUCUCAAGACAGGGAGCCGUGCCGGGGCUGAUUCCAAACCCCAUGCAAGUUUUGAGGGCUAGAGAGUGUUCUAGAGGUCUGGUCUCAGGCAGACCCGACAGGUUCGGGGGAGAAGGUAUUUCCGUUUACUGCCUGGGAGGGGGCAGACAAAGGGCGCUCGGUGGCCCCACGGGUAAAUCACUGCUUAAGUACCUACUAGGUGCUAAAGGCAAGCGUCAGCACAGGUGAAGCACACGACACCGGCCACCACUCUAGACAUACACGUUCUAGCGGAGAGCCCUUCCUGCCGGCAUUCCCAAGUGGGUGUUGCUGAUAUUUCCAAAAUCUGCUCUUUAAAAGCUGGGAUUCAUUUCCCCACUGAAACAGCAUUCGGCGUACUCAGUCGUUCCACUUGGAACGGAUGGGCAAUGGGGCCCUACUGUACCGCACUUUGCUGUACAGCAGAAAUUGAGAAAACACUGAAAAUCAAUACUUUCAUAAACAUAAAUUAAAAAAAAAAAAACCAUACCAGUUGGGUUCCCAGGCUAGCCCCCAAAGUCCUGUCCCAUCCACGCUGGGAAGGCACAGACUCCAGGGCGGCGGGGGCGCUCGGUGGGUCCUGAAGGAUGGAGGGAAGGUGAGAGUGGAAGAAGGUACAAGCCCCUCUCCCGCUCUUCCCACUGGGGUUCCCUGGGAAUGGAGACCCCAAGGGCCCAGGUCGUCCAGUUUUUCAGAAGACGAAAAAAUCUAUGUGCUCCAUUAAACUCUUGAUUUUUAAA
Molecule: long non-coding RNA, 3281 nt
Organism: Phacochoerus africanus (Common warthog)
Lineage: Eukaryota; Metazoa; Chordata; Mammalia; Artiodactyla; Suidae
Exons: 2
Source: RefSeq, a predicted model, not a curated record